GUUCACAUCAGAACAUAUACCAAGUGGGAAUUGUUGAAAGCCAAAGUCUCAUUUGCGUUAAAAUUUCAAUCGAGCUGGUCUCGGUAGCAAUAA
Non-coding RNA from Caenorhabditis elegans, 93 nucleotides. The record is from Ensembl. NCBI's taxonomy places the organism in Eukaryota, Metazoa, Nematoda, Chromadorea, Rhabditida, Rhabditidae.